GACGAACGCUGGCGGCGUGCUUAACACAUGCAAGUCGAGCGGUAAGGCCCUUUCGGGGGUACGACGAGCGGCGAACGGGUGAGUAACACGUGGGUGACCUGCCCUCAGCUCUGGGAUAAGCCUGGGAAACCGGGGUCUAAUACCGGAUAUGACUCCAUGACGCAUGUUGUGGGGUGGAAAGCCUUGUGCGGCUGAGGAUGGGCCCGCGGCCUAUCAGCUUGUUGGUGGGGUGAUGGCCUACCAAGGCGACGACGGGUAGCCGGCCUGAGAGGGCGACCGGCCACACUGGGACUGAGACACGGCCCAGACUCCUACGGGAGGGCAGCAGUGGGGAAUCUUGCGCAAUGGGCGAAAGCCUGACGCAGCGACGCCGCGUGAGGGAUGA
Molecule: ribosomal RNA, 385 nt
Filed under: uncultured bacterium
Lineage: Bacteria
Description: bacterial SSU rRNA
Rfam family: Bacterial small subunit ribosomal RNA
Source: RNAcentral